RNAcentral lists this small RNA (27 nucleotides) under Bombyx mori (domestic silkworm). Its description in RNAcentral is "ovarian small RNA-5872". The record is from RNAcentral. Lineage: Eukaryota; Metazoa; Arthropoda; Insecta; Lepidoptera; Bombycidae.
UAAUUCAAGGGAUGGUUGAUGACUGGC